This 526-nucleotide ribosomal RNA is filed under the name Otosaurus cumingii. Its description in RNAcentral is "Otosaurus cumingi partial large subunit ribosomal RNA". It matches the Rfam family "Bacterial large subunit ribosomal RNA", at positions 1817 to 2601 of the family's 2925-position model. Lineage: Eukaryota; Metazoa; Chordata; Lepidosauria; Squamata; Scincidae. The record is from RNAcentral.
AGCCUUCAGCAAAAUUAGUAUUGAAGGUACUGCCUGCCCAGUGAAAUUUUUUAACGGCCGCGGUAUUCUAACCGUGCAAAGGUAGCGUAAUCACUUGUCUCCUAAAUAGAGACUAGUAUGAACGGCUAAAUGAGAAUAAGCCUGUCUCCUACAGCUAAUCAGUGAAACUGAUCUCCCAGUCCAAAAGCUGGGAUAUAGACAUAAGACGAGAAGACCCUGUGGAGCUUAAAAUACAACACCAAUACGAACUAUUACUUAGUGUUUUAUUUUAAGUUGGGGCGACUUCGGAAAAAAACAAAACUUCCGAGCACAGAACCACUAACUCUUUCUAAGGCUAACAAGCCAAAGAAUCAAAUUGACCCAGUCCUACUGAUCAACGAACCAAGUUACCCCAGGGAUAACAGCGCUAUCUUCUUCAAGAGUCCAUAUCGACAAGAAGGUUUACGACCUCGAUGUUGGAUCAGGACACCCCAGUGGUGCAGCCGCUAUUAAAGGUUCGUUUGUUCAACGAUUAACAGUCCUACGU